This 228-nucleotide unclassified non-coding RNA is filed under the name Borreliella garinii. Its description in RNAcentral is "partial 5S-23S ribosomal RNA intergenic spacer". The record is from RNAcentral. Lineage: Bacteria; Pseudomonadati; Spirochaetota; Spirochaetia; Spirochaetales; Borreliaceae.
CUGCGAGUUCGCGGGAGAGUAAGUUAUUGCCAGGGUUUUUAUUUUAUACUUUAAACAUUGAUUUUAUUUUUUAUGUUUUUAGAUGUUCAUGUUUUUGAAUGUUUUAUUCGAAUAAUAUAAAAAAUAAAAUAUAUAUUGACAUGGAUUAAACAAAGAUAUAUAUUAUUCUAUGUUGUAUAAACAAAUUGGCAAAAUAGAGAUGGAAGAUAAAAAUAUGGCCAAAGAAAG